GACAGAGGGGGCAAGCGUUGCUCGGAAUCACUGGGCGUAAAGGGCGCGUAGGCGGGAUGGCAAGUCGGUCGUGAAAUCCUUCGGCUCAACCGAAGAACGUCGGCCGAUACUGCCGUUCUUGAGGGAUGCAGAGGAGAUUGGAAUUCCCGGUGUAGCGGUGAAAUGUGUAGAGAUCGGGAGGAACACCGGUGGCGAAGGCGGGUCUCUGGGCAACAACUGACGCUGAGGAGCGAAAGCGUGGGGAGCGAACAGG
This 253-nucleotide ribosomal RNA is filed under the name uncultured bacterium. Its description in RNAcentral is "partial 16S ribosomal RNA". It matches the Rfam family "Bacterial small subunit ribosomal RNA", at positions 524 to 776 of the family's 1533-position model. The record is from RNAcentral.